This 713-nucleotide ribosomal RNA is filed under the name Vibrio sp. 1B06. RNAcentral describes it as "bacterial SSU rRNA". It matches the Rfam family "Bacterial small subunit ribosomal RNA", at positions 33 to 735 of the family's 1533-position model. The record is from RNAcentral. Lineage: Bacteria; Pseudomonadati; Pseudomonadota; Gammaproteobacteria; Vibrionales; Vibrionaceae. RNAcentral also lists the same sequence under 1 other name.
ACGCUGGCGGCAGGCCUAACACAUGCAAGUCGAGCGGUAACAGAAAUUAGCUUGCUAAUUUGCUGACGAGCGGCGGACGGGUGAGUAAUGCCUGGGAAUAUGCCUUAGUGUGGGGGAUAACUAUUGGAAACGAUAGCUAAUACCGCAUAAUGUCUUCGGACCAAAGAGGGGGACCUUCGGGCCUCUCGCGCUAAGAUUAGCCCAGGUGAGAUUAGCUAGUUGGUGAGGUAAGAGCUCACCAAGGCGACGAUCUCUAGCUGGUCUGAGAGGAUGAUCAGCCACACUGGAACUGAGACACGGUCCAGACUCCUACGGGAGGCAGCAGUGGGGAAUAUUGCACAAUGGGCGAAAGCCUGAUGCAGCCAUGCCGCGUGUAUGAAGAAGGCCUUCGGGUUGUAAAGUACUUUCAGUAGGGAGGAAGGCGUAGUCGUUAAUAGCGGCUUCGUUUGACGUUACCUACAGAAGAAGCACCGGCUAACUCCGUGCCAGCAGCCGCGGUAAUACGGAGGGUGCGAGCGUUAAUCGGAAUUACUGGGCGUAAAGCGCAUGCAGGUGGUUCAUUAAGUCAGAUGUGAAAGCCCGGGGCUCAACCUCGGAACCGCAUUUGAAACUGGUGAACUAGAGUGCUGUAGAGGGGGGUAGAAUUUCAGGUGUAGCGGUGAAAUGCGUAGAGAUCUGAAGGAAUACCAGUGGCGAAGGCGGCCCCCUGGACA